This 123-nucleotide small RNA is filed under the name Marmota monax (woodchuck). The record is from RNAcentral. Lineage: Eukaryota; Metazoa; Chordata; Mammalia; Rodentia; Sciuridae.
UCUGGGCAUGGUGGCACACGCCUGUAAUCCCAGCAGCUCUGGAGGCGGAGGCAGGAGGAUCGCGAGUUCAAAGCCAGCCUCAGCAAAAGUGAGGCUAAGCAACUCAGUGAGACUCUGUCUCUA